RNAcentral lists this long non-coding RNA (478 nucleotides) under Erythranthe guttata (spotted monkey flower). Its description in RNAcentral is "long non-coding RNA (EGUT_LNC003492)". Lineage: Eukaryota; Viridiplantae; Streptophyta; Magnoliopsida; Lamiales; Phrymaceae. The record is from RNAcentral.
CUUCCCCCUUCCCCACCCCCAAACCCCAACCCUAACAAGAGAAGAGAAGUUCAGCAACACCAACUCAUCUUCUACGAUUCCCAUACCAGACCCGAAUCCGUAUAACUCGACGCUAAUUAAGUCCCAAUUACAGCAAUGGUUAUCUAAAAUCUCCAAGCAAUUUCUCUCGACGGCGACGACUUUGACAACGGCUGAAUUUGCUAGGUCAAAAUUGCGUCUUUUGGUUCUUUUCUCUUCUCUUGCUCUUUCUUAUCGCCACCACCGCCGUCAAAAUAAGAGAUUGGGGGAAGGUUUGAGGGUCGUGUAAAGUUAUUUGUUGGUGGAAACUAAAGUUUCAAUAAAUUAAAAUUUAUUGGUGGGCGGCAGAUCUAGAGAAGAUGGUGGUGUUGGUGAAGGAGAGGUGAGAUGGUGGUGAGCUGCGGCAGAGCCGGCAACCCGGUGGAGAUAUGGUGGAUGAGUGCUGAGAGUUGGGUGGGAG